RNAcentral lists this ribosomal RNA (252 nucleotides) under uncultured bacterium. RNAcentral's name for it is "partial 16S ribosomal RNA". It matches the Rfam family "Bacterial small subunit ribosomal RNA", at positions 524 to 776 of the family's 1533-position model. The record is from RNAcentral.
UACAGAGGGUGCGAGCGUAAUCGGAAUUACUGGGUGUAAAGGGCGCGUAGGCGGUCCGGUAAGUCCGCUGUGAAAGUCGGGGGCUCAACCCUCGAAUGCCGGUGGAUACUGUCGGGCUAGAGUGCGGAAGAGGCGAGUGGAAUUCCUGGUGUAGCGGUGAAAUGCGCAGAUAUCAGGAGGAACACCUAUUGCGAAGGCAGCUCGCUGGGACGUAACUGACGCUGAGACGCGAAAGCGUGGGGAGCAAACAGG